AUACGGAGGAUCCGAGCGUUAUCCGGAUUUAUUGGGUUUAAAGGGUGCGCAGGCGGCCAUUUAAGUCAGCGGUUAAAUCGUGGGGCUCAACCCCAUUCUGCCGUUGAUACUGGGUGGCUUGAUUGCGGUCGAGGUUGGCGGAAUUCGUUGUGUAGCGGUGAAAUGCAUAGAUAUGACGAGGAACACCGAUUGCGUAGGCAGCUGACCAGACCGCAAAUGACGCUCAUGCACGAAAGGGCGGGGAUCGAACAGGAUUAGAUACCCUGGUAGUCCGCACAGUAAACGAUGAAUACUUGUUUUCGGCGAUAUAAUGUCGGAGGCAAAGCGAAAGCGAUAAGUAUUCCACCUGGGGAGUACGCCGGCAACGGUGAAACUCAAAUGAAUUGACGGGG
RNAcentral lists this ribosomal RNA (392 nucleotides) under uncultured bacterium. RNAcentral describes it as "partial 16S ribosomal RNA". It matches the Rfam family "Bacterial small subunit ribosomal RNA", at positions 523 to 918 of the family's 1533-position model. The record is from RNAcentral.